This 204-nucleotide ribosomal RNA is filed under the name uncultured bacterium. Its description in RNAcentral is "partial 16S ribosomal RNA". It matches the Rfam family "Bacterial small subunit ribosomal RNA", at positions 524 to 727 of the family's 1533-position model. The record is from RNAcentral.
UACAGAGGUCUCAAGCGUUGUUCGGAUUCAUUGGGCGUAAAGGGUGCGUAGGCGGCGCGGUAAGUCGGGUGUGAAAUCUCGGAGCUUAACUUCGAAACUGCAUUCGAUACUGCCGUGCUUGAGGACUGGAGAGGAGACUGGAAUUUACGGUGAGCGGUGAAAUGCGUAGAUAUCGUAAGGAAGACCAGUGGCGGAAGGCGGGUC